UACGUAGGGGGCAAGCGUUAUCCGGAUUUACUGGGUGUAAAGGGGGCGCAGACGGCGAUGCAAGCCAGGAGUGAAAGCCCGGGGCCCAACCCCGGGACUGCUCUUGGAACUGCGUGGCUGGAGUGCAGGAGGGGCAGGCGGAAUUCCUAGUGUAGCGGUGAAAUGCGUAGAUAUUAGGAGGAACACCAGUGGCGAAGGCGGCCUGCUGGACGAUGACUGACGUUGAGGCUCGAAAGCGUGGGGAGCAAACAGG
RNAcentral lists this ribosomal RNA (253 nucleotides) under uncultured bacterium. RNAcentral describes it as "partial 16S ribosomal RNA". It matches the Rfam family "Bacterial small subunit ribosomal RNA", at positions 524 to 776 of the family's 1533-position model. The record is from RNAcentral.